Capsicum annuum is the source of this 1332-nucleotide long non-coding RNA. RefSeq lists it as uncharacterized. NCBI's taxonomy places the organism in Eukaryota, Viridiplantae, Streptophyta, Magnoliopsida, Solanales, Solanaceae. The transcript is spliced from 4 exons. The record is from RefSeq and is a predicted model, not a curated record.
CAGUUUAGCCCACUAUCAGAUGGUUGAGGAUGGUCGGUACAAACAUUUUUCAUGGGGAAAGAUUACAUUUGACAAGUUGAUGUACUCAUGGUGACAAAAUUUCUUCAUUGAAAAAUAGUUAUAUUCUUUGGAUGGAAUACCACACGUACUCAAUGUUUGGAUGUUUGAGUACUGCUCUGAGAAUGACAAAAAAACUAUUGUCCGUCAGAGAAAUACUAUCCCAAGGAUAUUUAACUGGUCUGUGGAGUAUGUGAGGCCUAUGUAUGAGUCUCUUAUGGCUAGCAUGUUCAGUAAGUUUUCUUACAAGAUUUUACAACCUACAAGCGAAGAAGUUCAGAUGUUGGAUUUGCCUUUUAUCAAAGAUUUUGAGAUAUGUGAUCGAAUUUCAACAUUUGUUGCUACAACAUCUGCAAAUUAAAAAUUGAAAAGGUCAGCUGAUGAAGGAAAACCGCAUGUUAUUAGUGUAGUUGAAGACUUUGACGAUUUUAGCACUAUACCACCGCAGGAAAUUUUGAUUAAGGCUAGUUUAUCUACACCUUUAUCAGCUGAACAAGCAUCGAAGAGAAAAAAGAUAGUUAUGUUUGAGGACGAAAGUACAGGGGUGAAAGAUGAUGAGAAAUCUACACGUGCUCGUUCAGUGCGUCAUGUGUCAGGCUCUUUGCUAAAAAUCAAGAGGAUUCAACAGAUAAGACAUCAAAUUAAUUUGAACAUGAUCAACAAGGACAAUUUGGUGUGUCUCCUGAGCAUGACUAAGUCAAGUCUGUUUCUUCAUCUACCCUAACUCCUGAAGGGACUUCUAAGUAGACUUUAGACAUGGAGGAGAUAAAGACUUACAUCAACUACUAUAUGAGGAAAUGGUUGAUAAGGAACAAGGUCAUGAAGAAGAAUCAAAAGAAAGGACAGUCCAUCAUUGGAGGAUUUGCUACAUGAAGAUUACGCCAAGAGUCCAUUGAAUGAAAUCACAAAUGAUGAUCCAGUUGCAAGUAAAUCUGUGGACACGGAUAUCCAAGAAUGUGUGAACACAAAUACUGAAUGUACACCGACAUCUGACGGUCAAAGCCAUCAGAAGUUAUUUCUAAAUUUUUGAAAAACUGAUAUGUAUGGGUGAUUUGAGUCUAUAUUAGAAAUAUAUAACUUUUUUCCCUAUAUUUUCAUCCUAUAUAUGUAUCACCUUAUACAUAGAAAAAAGUUAUGUAUUACUAGUUUGUGUAAUGAUAUGUAUGAAUAACCUUAUACAUGUAUAUGUUAUGUAUUAAUUAUUAUGUAAUAUUAUGGAUGAAUCACCUUAUAUAUAUAUAUAUAUAUAUAUAUAUAUAUAUAUAUAUUAUGUGU